This 253-nucleotide ribosomal RNA is filed under the name uncultured bacterium. RNAcentral's name for it is "partial 16S ribosomal RNA". It matches the Rfam family "Bacterial small subunit ribosomal RNA", at positions 524 to 776 of the family's 1533-position model. The record is from RNAcentral.
UACGGAGGGUGCAAGCGUUAUCCGGAUUCACUGGGUUUAAAGGGUGCGUAGGUGGGUCUGUAAGUCAGUGGUGAAAUCUCCGGGCUUAACUCGGAAACUGCCGUUGAUACUAUAGAUCUUGAAUAUCGCGUAGGUAAGCGGAAUAUGUCAUGUAGCGGUGAAAUGCUUAGAUAUGACAUAGAACACCAAUUGCGAAGGCAGCUUACUUCACGAUCAUUGGCACUGAGGCACGAAAGCGUGGGGAGCAAACAGG